UGGCUAUUGUGAAUAAUGUUGCUAUGAACCUUGGUAUAUAAGUAUCCGUUUGACUCCCUGUUUUCAAUUUUUUAGGUAUAUACCUAGAAGUGGAAUUGCAGGGCAUAAGGAAAACUCCAUGUUUUCUUUAUUUUGUGAUUCAAGUUGAAGGAACAGCCUCUCUCUGGGACAUGCCAGUUGAAGGAAAAGAGAAACUUUUGUUCAAAAGAGGCACACAGCACCCUGCGCACAUUGCUUUCCCAAAGCAAGUCACCUGACGACUCCUGAGUUUAAUAGGAUGGGAAUGUAAUAUCCCAAAAGAAAGUAUGUUACCAGUCAUACGGCCUAGCAGAACAUCAGUGUGGUGGGAGGUGUAAUCUUCCUACAGGAAGGAAUAUCAGGAGCAAGAACUAAAGAAUUCCAAAGGAACCAUAAGAAGUUGGGAGAAGAUUCUUACCGCAUGGGUUCUGGAGGUCAGAAGUACCAAAUCAGCUUCACUGUGCUAAAGUCAAAGUUCAGCAGGGUUGGUGCCUUCUGGAAGCUCUGAGAAAUCAAUAAGCUGAUCUUAAAAUUCACAUGGAAAUGGAAAGGACUCAGAAUUGUCAAAACAAUCUUGGGAUAGGAGAACCUAAGAUGGUGACUAGGAGAGACAGGGCAAAAAAACACCUCCGUGAAAAAUACUAGAUAAAAGCCAGAAAGUGACUCAGAACACCAGU
This is a long non-coding RNA of Choloepus didactylus (southern two-toed sloth), 695 nucleotides long. RefSeq lists it as uncharacterized. The transcript is spliced from 5 exons. The record is from RefSeq and is a predicted model, not a curated record. Lineage: Eukaryota; Metazoa; Chordata; Mammalia; Pilosa; Megalonychidae.